Prosopis cineraria is the source of this 324-nucleotide long non-coding RNA. RefSeq lists it as uncharacterized. The transcript is spliced from 3 exons. The record is from RefSeq and is a predicted model, not a curated record. NCBI's taxonomy places the organism in Eukaryota, Viridiplantae, Streptophyta, Magnoliopsida, Fabales, Fabaceae.
UGAGCUCUCCCUCCUCACCUCUGGCUUGUUCUUCUCCUCACCGUCGGUAAUUAGAGUAGCCAAAAGGCAACUGAGAGAUGUUUAAAGGAAUGAAUUUUCAUCCUGCGAGCUUUUCAGAUUUGUUAACUGGCGUUGAUCCUACUGUUGACAUUUAAAAGGGCAAAAAUUGAUCUGGGUGGUGGCAUUUCACUUAGCAUUAUCUCCUUUUGACAUAAACAUUUGAACUGAUGUAUUUUAUUUUGAAAGUAAGGUUAGUUAGCUCCACAUAGCCUAUAGCUAAAUUUCUAUUGUGGUAUAUAUCGUUUGCUGGUUGGAAGGAGUUGA